This 76-nucleotide transfer RNA is filed under the name Candidatus Berkelbacteria bacterium CG06_land_8_20_14_3_00_43_10. Its description in RNAcentral is "tRNA-Thr". It matches the Rfam family "tRNA". Rfam says of the family: Transfer RNA (tRNA) molecules are approximately 80 nucleotides in length. Lineage: Bacteria; Candidatus Berkelbacteria. RNAcentral also lists the same sequence under 1 other name. The record is from RNAcentral.
GCCGAGAUAGCUCAGUUGGCAGAGCACGUCAUUGGUAAUGACGAGGUCACGGGUCCGAUCCCCGUUCUCGGCUCCA